AGAGUGAAAACUCCCUUAAAACCACUGCAAAUCUACCUGUUGUGUUGCUUCGGCAGGCGGCCCCCGGGGGGGUCGUAGCCCGUAAGGGUGCCUGCCGGAGGUACCUAACUCUGCCGUAACCGUAUUCUGAGCAACUGUCAAAAUAAUCAAAACUUUCAACAACGGAUCUCUUGGUUUGGGCAUCGAUGAAGAACGCAGCGAAAUGCGAUAAGUAAUGUGAAUUGCAGAAUUCAGUGAAUCAUCGAAUCUUUGAACGCACAUUGCGCCCGCCAGCACUCUGGCGGGCAUGCCUGUCCGAGCGUCAUUUCUACCCUCAGGCCCCCUCAAGGGCCUGGCGUUGGGGCCUUCUGCGGGCGGUUCGCCGCCCGCAGGCCCUCAAGAACAGUGGCGGGCUCGCCUGUAACCCGAGCGCAGUAAUACAUCUCGCUCAGGGCUCCCGGCGGGUCUCCGGCCGUUAAACACACCAACUUACAGAAGGUUGACCUCGGAUCAGGUAGGACUACCCGCUGAACUUAAGCAUAUCAAUAAGCGGAGGAAAAGAAACCAACAGGGAUUGCCCUAGUAACGGCGAGUGAAGCGGCAACAGCUCAAAUUUGAAAUCUGGCCCCAGGCCCGAGUUGUAAUUUGGAGAGGAUGCUUUUGGCGCAGCGCCCCCCGAGUUCCCUGGAACGGGACGCCGUAGAGGGUGAGAGCCCCGUACGGGAGGACGCUAAGCCUCUGUAAAGCUCCCUCGACGAGUCGAGUAGUUUGGGAAUGCUGCUCUAAGCGGGAGGUAAAUUUCUUCUAAAGCUAAAUAUUGGCCCAAGACCGAUAGCGCACAAGUAGAGUGAUCGAAAGAUGAAAAGCACUUUGAAAAGAGGGUUAAACAGCACGUGAAAUUGUUGAAAGGGAAGCGCUUGUGACCAGACAUGCGCCCGUCGGAUCAUCCAGCGCUCUGCGCUGGUGCACUCCGGCGGGUUCAGGCCAGCACCGGCCUUCCCAGGCGGAUAAAAACAGCGGGAACGUAGCUCCUUCGGGAGUGUUAUAGCCCGUUGUAGAAUACGCCUGGGGGG
This 1052-nucleotide unclassified non-coding RNA is filed under the name Sporidesmium lignicola. RNAcentral describes it as "sequence contains ITS1, 5.8S rRNA gene, ITS2, 28S rRNA gene". The stretch from base 480 to 1052 matches the Rfam family "Eukaryotic large subunit ribosomal RNA", at positions 1 to 584 of the family's 3401-position model. The record is from RNAcentral. Lineage: Eukaryota; Fungi; Ascomycota; Sordariomycetes; Sporidesmiaceae.